CUGAAUUCAAUUCGAGCACUGAUGUCGGGUUUUCCCCUCAGUGCUUUAUGGAAACUGCUUCAGUUCACAGCCUUUGUUCGGUUAAACAAUUCCUCUAGGUAGCAUUGUCCUGCUGGAUGACCGUACAUUGGCGAGGGGACAUUUUAAAAAAAGUGCAAUUAUUUUUUGAAAUGGCAUUGGAAAUUGUGCGUGGCAAAAAAAAAAAAAAAAGGGCACGGGGGAAGGAGCUCUGAAGAAAUCAAUUUGAAGAAAAACUCCCUGUUAGACCCUUUCUGUAUUUGCUAUCUUUCUCUGGGAGUUUUUGCUUGGAAACCUCUGGCAAACAGCUAUCUUUGGGUGAGCUGAAAGAUAUCCCUCCACCAUCUGAUGGCAUCCGACACCAUGAGUUGCCGCAUCUCCCGAGCGUAGCGUUGACCGACUCCACGUUCUCUCAGCACUCGCUCAUUACUGGGGUCCCACGCGCCCAUGGCUCCAACAAUCAGCACAGUGUCAAACUAUCAAGAGCCUCUUCCCAUUGCCCUCCCCACCCAUCAACUUGCUUCAGGAUCAGUGAAAUAGGAAUCAAAUCAGGACAUCUGCUGAUGUCAAGAAGGCUUAAAGAAAUGGAAGGCUUCAACCUGGAAAUGCUGCUUGUGACAUUCCCAUUCCCCUGAGAUUUUGUCUGCUUCUGUUUCAUCAUGAUCACAGAUGUAAUAUCUGACACAGGCAGAGUAAUGAACUCGUGCUGACAUCCCAAUCUUGUGGACACGUCUGCCCUUCUGAAGCUUUCUCUUCUGCAGAAUUAAGCCUCUGGAUGGAUUCGUCUUGUAUUUAUUAAUGCCCAGCUAGGACUGAAAAUUUUGGCCUCUCGAUUAUGUUGAUAGGAUGAAAUCUCUGGAAUCAGAAUGAUGGAUGAGGCUAAAAUAAAGGAUGUGUUCUUCAUUGAAAAUGUUGAGAUGGAUAGUUUUCCUAAUCCCCGUGAAAUUUGAGUCCUCAUUCAAGCUUAGCGCUUUGCUGAAGAAUAGGCCAGAGUUCAAUUUUUUCAGGACUUUUCCGAAAGUAUUACACAAGAAUGCUCGGACUUGUACCAAACAUAACGUUAGUCACACACCCUUGGGAUAGAAACAUGCAGAGAAAACAAUGAAACAAGACUGUUUAUAAAGCCGUCAACACAUUAGCCAGUAGAGAGGAGCCCAAGUUUCCAUGUAAAGUCCUGAAUGGACGCGAGCGACGUGAAACACAUGGAAAAUGUGGAGUAAGGAAUAAAAUUAUAAAUAAAAUAAAUUGGGAAUGCCAUUUUAGUCA
Long non-coding RNA from Chelonia mydas (Green sea turtle), 1284 nucleotides. RefSeq lists it as uncharacterized. The record is from RefSeq and is a predicted model, not a curated record. NCBI's taxonomy places the organism in Eukaryota, Metazoa, Chordata, Testudines, Cheloniidae. The transcript has 8 exons.